RNAcentral lists this long non-coding RNA (201 nucleotides) under Elaeis guineensis (African oil palm). RNAcentral's name for it is "long non-coding RNA (EGUI_LNC020650)". The record is from RNAcentral. Lineage: Eukaryota; Viridiplantae; Streptophyta; Magnoliopsida; Arecales; Arecaceae.
GCUGGGACACUCCUCCUCCUCCCAUUGGCCCGUUCCCUCUCCCUCCGACACCGUUGCCUUCACGUGCUCUCCCCCUCUCCUUCUGCCACGUGUCCCUCCUCCCACUAGCUGUACCCGAUACUCGCCUGACACGUACUACGCCGGACACGUGUCAACCUUCCCCCAACUAUUUAAAGCCCCCUUCCUGCCGCCCCCUUCCUN